CGCAAGCUCUUGCUAUUAGAUGAGCCUAAAUCAGAUUAGCUAGUUGGUGGGGUAAAGGCCCACCAAGGCGACGAUCUGUAACUGGUCUGAGAGGAUGAUCAGUCACACCGGAACUGAGACACGGUCCGGACUCCUACGGGAGGCAGCAGUGGGGAAUAUUGGACAAUGGGGGCAACCCUGAUCCAGCCAUGCCGCGUGUGUGAAGAAGGCCUUUUGGUUGUAAAGCACUUUAAGCAGGGAGGAGAGGCUAAUGGUUAAUACCCAUUAGAUUAGACGUUACCUGCAGAAUAAGCACCGGCUAACUCUG
RNAcentral lists this ribosomal RNA (307 nucleotides) under Moraxella sp. 54(2010). RNAcentral's name for it is "bacterial SSU rRNA". It matches the Rfam family "Bacterial small subunit ribosomal RNA", at positions 202 to 505 of the family's 1533-position model. The record is from RNAcentral. Lineage: Bacteria; Pseudomonadati; Pseudomonadota; Gammaproteobacteria; Moraxellales; Moraxellaceae.